Molecule: long non-coding RNA, 1495 nt
Organism: Dreissena polymorpha
Lineage: Eukaryota; Metazoa; Mollusca; Bivalvia; Myida; Dreissenidae
Exons: 2
Source: RefSeq, a predicted model, not a curated record
AAUUCUUUUUUAUCUUCACAUAAUGUUUAUGGUCUUAUUAUUACAAUUUGUCUGCUCAUAAAAUAUGUGAAUCAGUAGAGCAGCUUUUAAAGGGAAAAGUACAACUAAAUCAGGCUGUGGGUAAAUAAUUAAAAAUAUUGAAAGUGUCAAAAAAAUUAUGUGGGCUUGCCAGAAUCAAUUAUAUCUUCACAACAUAAAAAACAAGUAUUUGAACUUUCUUACACUGAUAUUUAACCCCAAUUCAAUUAAUGUCUACCACAUUGACUAUUAACAUACAUUUUAAAAGACAAUUUAAAUAAUAUUUAUAAUAUUAUAUUUAUUUCCUAACACCAUUCAGUAUGUUAUAUUGAAAUAUUCACAAUUAAAUAUAAUAUGCUAAGUGUGCUGUGUAUUAUUCAAUAAAUAUCAGAUAAGAUCAGGAUCAGAUAAGAGAUCAAUUAGCAUCAUAAACACUAAUCCCUAUCAGUGCUCCAUCUAGCCAAAACAAAGGGGUGUUUAUAGAAUUUUGAUUGGUUCUGGGACCAUCUAUUUGAAAACAAACCAUUUUUGAUUGGUUGGAGCACAGCAAGUUAUUUGGAGCACAUGAAGUUAUUUUUGUAAAUAAUUUGGUUUCAGCAACUUAAAUUGAGCUAAAUUUUUAGGUAUAAUUCAGCAACAUUAAUUCUAGUGUCAAAUGUCUUGAAAUUCUUUCAGCACAUGAACUAUUGUGUGAUGAAAACAAUGUGUAUUUACUACAAUGUGUAAAUCAACAAUAAGUUUGUUGCAAAGAAGAUUCAAAGUGGGUGGUUAAAGUGAUCAACAACUGCCGUUUUUGUUUUUUUGGAAUGCUGAAGAACAGCUGUAACAGGUUUGUAUUUUCAUUUCUGCAUCUCUUUUUAAUUAAAUUAAUUAUGAUCAUUAUCAUAUUUAUGUAUUGUCACUGGGAAAUGUAACUGGAUGAGUAAAUGUAAUGCAAUUUUAAGGAAAAAAACACCAUUUGAAUUAUUAUGGCUGUAUUUUAUGGUUAUUGUCAUCUUAAAAUUUAUUUAUACCUAUUUCUUGUCAUUAAUGAACAGAUUUCUUUCCCCCAUAUUUAAUCAGAACUUUAAUAUUUUAUAUUUGAAGGUUAAACCCCAAGGUGAAAUUUACAUUGAUCGGAAGAUCCAUUGGACAGAAUGUGCAUCAUCGCCUGCAAAAAAAGGGAGCAAAAAGGGGACUACCUGAUGUAUGGACAUGUAUACCAGGCCAACUUGAGGGGAACAGGAGUGGGAAACAGUGCCCUGUAGCUUGUCCUUGACCAAGAAAAGAUGGAUUUGUUGAGAGGACCUGAUCUCAAAUGAGAUCAUGCACGAGAAGCGCCUCGCAGACCAUGACAGUAGUAUUCAGACCUGAUCAGCUGGUGAAGUGCUCUAUAAAGGGUUGUUUAUGAAUGCAUUCUUUGUAAGGAACAGUGUAUAACAACAAAUAUAGUGACAGGGGCUAAGCUGCUAAAUAUUGUCAGCAUGUAUGCAGUGAU